CAAAAACAAGAGAGUGGGAGAGAAAGACAUGUGGACUUUAAAGGUGGAGCUCCUCAAUACAAAAUCAGAUUGAUUAGAGCAAAAAGUUAGUUAACUCUAAGUAAACAGGAUCAAGAGAAAAGUCAUGCUUGUACGAUGAAGCCUUGACUGAACAGACAGCCUCCGUUUGUCUGCUCUCAGUUUACAAUAUAACUGUGUUAUAGUUGUAAAGGGAGGAGACAUAAGUAGGAGGAGUACUGGGAGAAAAACACGUUGUUUGUUUCAUUUCAGAGCCAUACAUCACUGGGUCAAGGACUUUAUUUUACUCUAUUUUAAACUUUAUUUUAGGGCUGCACAGUUUGACUGAUCGCAACUAUGGAUAUAAACAUGCUGCUCCUUUUUCUACUGCUGCUGCUCUUUGGUUCUCAGGCUAACCAUUUCUUUGGGACAGUGAUGACUUUUACCCCCAAAGACAAGACACAUAAUGGCUCCCUCACGGUGGUCUUUCACUACAAGUUGAGCUUUCGCUCAUGCACCGAUCAAGACACGUGGAGCUGUGUCAGCGGUGACUGUGGUAGUGAGAGUGUGGAGCUGAGCAUUGUGGAUGAGGAGGACAAAGAGUGGUGUCAGAGGGAAGGAGUCAUGACUCGGGAGGUUUCCAGCAAUGCUGUGUUUCAGCUACGAUUAGAUGGCGGUGACUGGAUUCAAAACAAAAACAAGGUGAAGAAAUGGAGAGCUCUGACUAACGUGGACCUGAGGACUCGUCUCGACACAUAUCAGCCAAACAAAUCACCUCAGACCACCAUCCUGCCAGCCCUGCGAGUCCCUUCAAACUGUCAAAGAGUCUUCAGCUUGUCGGCCUUUGACCCUGAUGGAGACAAGGUUAAAUGCAGAUUUGGAGACAUAGACGCAGAUGAGUGUAAUCCUUGCACACCACCGUCUGUUCUGACCAUCUCACAAGCUUGCACAUUGUCAUUUAAUCCUGUCAGCAGGCAAGAUGAAGGUUCAUACGCAGUACAGCUGGAAAUGGAGGACUUCCCAAAAAAGACUGUCAUCAUCAGUGAUUAUGGUGUGCAGACAAACAUCACUCCCAGCGAGGCUCUCAGCAAAAUACCAAUCAGAUUUGCUCUGAUGGUGGACCCUCCUGCACCAUCCUGCUCAGAGGGAGUUUACCUGCCCAGGUUUCUACCUCCAACCCCAGCCAAUGGGGCUCGCAUGUAUACUAAUGACACAGUGAACAUUACCAUUGUGGCAGAGGCCACCAAUGCCACGGUUUUAAAGCUUUUGUUCAGUGGACCGCACAGUGUUGUAAAACACACUGAAUCACAUGGAGAAUUUAUCCUGACUUGGACGCCAUCUGAGAAUCAAGAUGGAGAAGAUCAUCCCAUCUGCUUCUUAGUCCAGGCAGAGAAAGAUACAGCCAAAUAUCAGUCUGAGCUACGGUGUGUGAUUGUGAGCUAUCGCACAGAACCAGUCAUCACAACAUCUAUGCCAACAACCGUUCUGCCUUCAACUACUCCAGCGAGCACAACUACUGUAACCGAAACAGAAACACUAAGCAUAACAACUGUGGUGGCAGAUGAAUCCAAAGCAUCAGGUGAUGACAGCAGUCGUGCUGGCAAAAUUGCUGGCGCUGUGUGUGGGGCUGUAGGUGUUGCAGCAAUCGUUGGCAUUGUGGUGUGGGUGGUGAGGGGAAGUCCACACGCGUUCUAUAAAGUAGUCUAAUGGAAGAAGAAAGAGAUUAAGGAAAAACAAAACUGGAUAUAAAAUCUAGAGAACUUGGGAAAAGGAUAUCACAAACGUUGUUACAGCACAUUUCUACAGAUGUAUAUACUUUAUAAUAUAGAUGCAUAUCUUUUACUGAUGAAGAAUCACACCAUCAUGUCACUCUCCAGUGUGCUGAUAUUAGUCUUUGGCUCUAUCUGGUGGUGGCAUGAUGGCAUGACAUAAAUGUACAGAGUUGUAAAUAAAAGCUACAGACAGCAGCCUUUAGAUGUGUGUAUUUCAUCAUUUAACAUCUUACAAACUUAAAUGUAAACAUACAAAUGAGGAAGGUUUAAUAUCUACAGAGAAAAUGGUUGGAAGUAAGGCACUGAGGUUUGAAGGCUGAAAAGAAAAAAGAAAAGUUCUUAUAUGGC
Long non-coding RNA from Oreochromis aureus, 2117 nucleotides. NCBI's taxonomy places the organism in Eukaryota, Metazoa, Chordata, Actinopteri, Cichliformes, Cichlidae. The record is from Ensembl.